Molecule: unclassified non-coding RNA, 263 nt
Filed under: plant metagenome
Description: partial contains small subunit ribosomal RNA, internal transcribed spacer 1, and 5.8S ribosomal RNA
Source: RNAcentral
UUUCCGUAGGUGAACCUGCGGAAGGAUCAUUAUUGUAUAACCGAGGUGCGUGGGCUGUCGCUGACCCGAAAGGUCGUGCACGCCCGAGUGCCCUCACACACAUCCAUCUCACCCCUAUGUGCACCACCGCGUGGGUCCCCCUUUGGCUUGUUCGGAGGGGGGCUUACGUUUUCACACAAACUUUGUAUGCAGUGUAGAAUGUAUUUUUUGUUUUUGCGAUCACGCAAUCAAUACAACUUUCAACAACGGAUCUCUUGGUUCUC